GAGCUGUAGAUGUCUACCAUCAAAAAGCUCAAGGAUGUUUUAUUUUAUAAACUUUUCAUAUGUAGUCUUUUGGCGUUAUUGUCCUUCUAAUAUAGUCAAUUAGGACUAUUUUGCACGGGUGCAUUUUGUGCGAAACUGUUGGAUCCAUUAUUCCAGGAUAAAAAUUGCUGCUUUUCCUUUAAUUCUAUGUAAUCUGCUGAGUGACUGUUAUAGAUGAUGGCUUGGUCUUUGUUCUUCCUUAUUACUAAACAUAGAUUUUGUUUUCCUUCAGUUAUCAGCAAUGCAUUCAUUUUCUUCUUGAGUUGGGACAGGCUUCGGGGAGAAAAUGUUUCUUAGGCCUCAUUUGAGGGGAUUGGGUGGGUUUUCCCAAUCAGUUUUGCUGUGCAUUUAUAUCAUCAAGCUCAGAUUGUGUAUAUUAGCUUCAUUUUCCCCUUACCCAUGAUAUUGAAUGUAUUUAUUCUGUUCUAUCGCCCCUCUGUUUUCGUUGUGCCAUACUGUAAUUCAAGGUUCAAUGGAAGUUCAGGUCUCUGUUCAAGACUGAAUUGCCACCCAAUCUUUAGUUUCUAAUAAAAAAAAUUGUUGUCUUG
Molecule: long non-coding RNA, 587 nt
Filed under: Populus trichocarpa (black cottonwood)
Lineage: Eukaryota; Viridiplantae; Streptophyta; Magnoliopsida; Malpighiales; Salicaceae
Description: long non-coding RNA (PTRI_LNC001679)
Source: RNAcentral